RNAcentral lists this ribosomal RNA (405 nucleotides) under uncultured bacterium. Its description in RNAcentral is "partial 16S ribosomal RNA". It matches the Rfam family "Bacterial small subunit ribosomal RNA", at positions 30 to 526 of the family's 1533-position model. The record is from RNAcentral.
AUUGAACGCUAGCGGGAUGCUUUACACAUGCAAGUCGAACGAGUGGCGGACGGGUGAGUAAGAUAUCGGAACGUGCCCAGUAACGGGGUAUAAAUACUCGAAAGAGUGGCUAAUAACGCAUACUAUUGGAGCGGCCGAUAUCGGAUUAGCUAUGUGGUGGGGUAAAGGCUCACCAAGGCAACGAUCAGUAGCUGGUUUGAGAGGACGAACAGUAACACUGGGACUGAGACACGGCCCAGAAUCCUACGGGAGGCAGCAGUGGGGAAUUUUGGACAAUGGGGGAAACCCUGAUCCAGCAAUCCCGCGUGUAUGAGAAGGCCUUCGGGUUGUAAAGUACUUUUGGCAGAGAAGCGGUAUCUGCAGAAUAAGCACCGGCUAACUACGUGCCAGCAGCCGCGGUAAUUC